GUAGUUAUAGCCCUAUUUAUUCACACUUGUACGUUUAAAUCCAAAAGAAACUGCUAACACACAAUGGUUGCCAUGGAGUUCUGCGGACAUUGCUGCAUUCUUCGUCACACUACAUCUUAUUUAUGUGAUGGUGUAUAUUUCAGCUGUUGUACAGAUUGUGGAAAGGUUCUGAGUGAGUCUUGUGCAGAUUGUGGGAAUGUUACAAGAGAGUCGAUUCCUGUGAAUUUGAGGACAAAUAAAAGUGAUAGAAUAAUGAAGAAAAAGAGAAAGAACAUUGCUGUGAAAAAAACCUAAAGAACAAUUCCCUUGAAAAAAAAAGAGUAUAUAGGUAGUUUGUGACAUUUUUUUUUCUCAAUUAGAAGUUAUCUACCACAAAUUCAUUUUUUUUGGAUGAUUAAUGUAUUUAGAAACAAUUCAUUAUUUUAAGGGCUAUGGUUAAUUUGUUAAUGUACUAUGUCUUGCUUGUAGAUGUUUUUCACAGCUUCCGAAUUUAAGCUUUUGAGAAUA
Long non-coding RNA from Lathyrus oleraceus (garden pea), 507 nucleotides. RefSeq lists it as uncharacterized. NCBI's taxonomy places the organism in Eukaryota, Viridiplantae, Streptophyta, Magnoliopsida, Fabales, Fabaceae. The transcript is spliced from 2 exons. The record is from RefSeq and is a predicted model, not a curated record.